This 108-nucleotide Y RNA is filed under the name Homo sapiens (human). It matches the Rfam family "Y RNA". From Rfam's summary of the family: Y RNAs are components of the Ro ribonucleoprotein particle (Ro RNP), in association with Ro60 and La proteins. The Y RNAs and Ro60 and La proteins are well conserved, but the function of the Ro RNP is not known. The record is from Rfam by way of RNAcentral. Lineage: Eukaryota; Metazoa; Chordata; Mammalia; Primates; Hominidae.
GGCUGGCCUGAGGGUAGUGGAUUAUCAGAACUUAUUAACAUCAGUGUUACUGAAGUUGGUGUACAACCCCCCACCCCCCACCCCACUGGUAAAUUUGACUGGCUUUUU